RNAcentral lists this ribosomal RNA (497 nucleotides) under uncultured bacterium. RNAcentral's name for it is "partial 16S ribosomal RNA". It matches the Rfam family "Bacterial small subunit ribosomal RNA", at positions 28 to 507 of the family's 1533-position model. The record is from RNAcentral.
GAUGAACGCUGGCGGCGUGCCUAAUACAUGCAAGUCGAGCGAACAGAUCAGGCGCUUGCGCCUUUGACGUUAGCGGCGGACGGGUGAGUAACACGUGUGUACCCUACCUAUAUGACUGGGAUAACUUCGAGAAACCGGCGCUAAUACCGGAUAAGAUUUCGAACCGCAGGGUUCGAUAGUAAGAGAUGGUUUUGCUAUCACUUAUAGAUGGACCCGCGCCGUAUUAGCUAGUUGGUAAGGUACCGGCUUACCAAGGCGACGAGACGUAGCCGACCUGAGAGGGGGGUCGGCCACACUGGAACUGAGACACGGUCCAGAGUCCUACGGGAGGCAGCAGUAGGGAAUCGGACGCAAUGGGCGAAAGCAUGACGGAGCAAGGCCGCGUGAGUGAUGAAGGUCUUCGGAGCGUAAAACUCUGUUAUUAGGGAAGAACAUACGUGUAAUUAACUGUGCACGGAGUGACGGUACCUAAUCAGAAAGCCACGGCUAACUACGUG